AAACUCUUACUGUGCUGCUCAUCUCUCUCCAGUGGGGCAGUGACAUCCUUCUUCUUCAUGUUCCUCAGGAUAUGGAGUGUGAUCUUCAGAGACCCCUCAAUGCCACAGGUCUCCAGCAUCUUCUCAACUAUGUACAGGGCCUCAGGAUCCUCCUGCUCUCUCUCAGUGCAUUCUGGGUAAUCAGCAAGUUGAUGACUCUUGAACACUUCCUUGAUCUUCAUAAGCUUAUCCAGUACAGAAGGAUCUUCAGGAAGACUAUGUAAGCAUUCUGGGCAAACCUGACUCAGAUGGCUCUGAAACAGUUUCAACUUUUCAGUCUUCUUCAGCUUCAUCAGAGUGCGCAGGAGAGACUGAAAUAAACACAUGAAGAGGUGUGCUGUAUCAGAGUGAAAUAAAUACAUGAAGAGGUACGCUGUCUCAGUGUGAAAUAAACACAUGAAGAGGUAUGCUGUAUCAGUGUGAAAUAAACACGUGAAUAUGUGUGCUGUAUCAGUGUGAAAUAAACACAUGAAGAGGUGUGCUGUCUCAGUGUGAAAUAAACACAUGAAGAGGUGUGCUGUAUCAGCGUGAAAUAAACACAUGAAGAGGUGUGCUGUCUCAGUG
Long non-coding RNA from Anguilla rostrata (American eel), 603 nucleotides. RefSeq lists it as uncharacterized. Lineage: Eukaryota; Metazoa; Chordata; Actinopteri; Anguilliformes; Anguillidae. The transcript has 2 exons. The record is from RefSeq and is a predicted model, not a curated record.